GAUGCAAGGUUAAGCAGUAAAUGUGGAGCCGUAGCGAAAGCGAGUCUGAAUAGGGCGUUUAGUAUUUGGUCGUAGACCCGAAACCAGGUGAUCUACCCUUGGUCAGGUUGAAGUUCAGGUAACACUGAAUGGAGGACCGAACCGACUUACGUUGAAAAGUGAGCGGAUGAACUGAGGGUAGCGGAGAAAUUCCAAUCGAACCUGGAGAUAGCUGGUUCUCUCCGAAAUAGCUUUAGGGCUAGCCUCAAGUGAUGAUUAUUGGAGGUAGAGCACUGUUUGGACGAGGGGCCCCUCUCGGGUUACCGAAUUCAGACAAACUCCGAAUGCCAAUUAAUUUAACUUGGGAGUCAGAACAUGGGUGAUAAGGUCCGUGUUCGAAAGGGAAACAGCCCAGACCACCAGCUAAGGUCCCAAAAUAUAUGUUAAGUGGAAAAGGAUGUGGCGUUGCCCAGACAACUAGGAUGUUGGCUUAGAAGCAGCCAUCAUUUAAAGAGUGCGUAAUAGCUCACUAGUCGAGUGACACUGCGCCGAAAAUGUACCGGGGCUAAACAUAUUACCGAAGCUGUGGAUUGUCCUUUGGACAAUGGUAGGAGAGCGUUCUAAGGGCGUUGAAGCAUGAUCGUAAGGACAUGUGGAGCGCUUAGAAGUGAGAAUGCCGGUGUGAGUAGCGAAAGACGGGUGAGAAUCCCGUCCACCGAUUGACUAAGGUUUCCAGAGGAAGGCUCGUCCGCUCUGGGUUAGUCGGGUCCUAAGCUGAGGCCGACAGGCGUAGGCGAUGGAUAACAGGUUGAUAUUCCUGUACCACCUAUAAUCGUUUUAAUCGAUGGGGGGACGCAGUAGGAUAGGCGAAGCGUGCGAUUGGAUUGCACGUCUAAGCAGUAAGGCUGA
RNAcentral lists this ribosomal RNA (888 nucleotides) under Staphylococcus aureus. RNAcentral's name for it is "partial 23S ribosomal RNA". It matches the Rfam family "Bacterial large subunit ribosomal RNA", at positions 637 to 1528 of the family's 2925-position model. Lineage: Bacteria; Bacillati; Bacillota; Bacilli; Caryophanales; Staphylococcaceae. The record is from RNAcentral.